RNAcentral lists this ribosomal RNA (1824 nucleotides) under Triticum aestivum (bread wheat). Its description in RNAcentral is "partial small subunit ribosomal RNA". Lineage: Eukaryota; Viridiplantae; Streptophyta; Magnoliopsida; Poales; Poaceae. The record is from RNAcentral.
AUGGCAGCGAGUUUGAAGCCAACGCCGGCAAUCCUACUCAGCAGGCCCUGCUCUAUCUCAACCGGUGGCAACUACUCCUCUCGUCUCCCUCUCCAACCGUCUCCCAGGCCCCGCUUUCCCCAUGUCCAAGCAUCACCUGCCACGGAAGCUACGCCGACCUCUAGAGUUGAACACGAAACAAGAGAUACAUACAACCAUGUGGCCUCUGCUGGCGUUGCCGCUGCUCCCAAGACGCUGUCCAGGUACGAGCCCUCUCUGUGGGGUGACUACUUCCUCGACUACGAGCCAAAACCACUGCAGAGGUCAGAAAAAUGGAUGAUUGCAAGAGCUCAUAAAUUAAAGGAGGACAUCAACAUGUUGUUUGAGAGUUGCAAGUGCACGGUGGAAAGAAUAACCUUAUUGGACAGUGUCCAACGUCUCGGAAUAGACCAUCACUUUAAGAAACAGGUUGAUAUCGCGUUAAGUCAAAUUACCGAGGAUGAAUUCAGUAGCUCUAGCCUCCAUCACGUUGCCCUCCGGUUUGGCUUGCUUCGAAAACAUGGUCUUUGGGUGUCUGCAGAUGUUUUCAACAAAUUUAAGAAUGAAGAUGGGAGCUUUAGGAAAGAUAUUACCAAUGACCCAAAGGGACUUUUAUGUCUAUACAACGCAGCCCAUCUUCUUGUUCAUGGUGAGCCAUCAUUGGAAGAAGCUAUCUCAUUUACAAAGCAUCAUCUUGAAUUGAUGAGGGACACUCUCAAGUCUCCUUUAGACGAGCAAGUUAAACGUGCCCUUCGCGUACCAUUGCCAAGGACAUUGAAAAGGGUGGAAACACUCCAUUAUAUCUCUGAGUACAUGCACGAGGAACGACAUAACCCAACUCUAUUGGAGCUUGCGAAGCUGGAAUUUAACCUUCUACAACAUGUACACUUGAAGGAACUCAAAUAUCUCACUAAGUGGUGGCGCGAUCUGUACACGUGUGUCGGGCUAAACUAUGCUCGGGACCGCCUGGUGGAGGGUUACCUUUGGUGCUAUGCGAUAUACCAUGAGAAAGAAUUUGCGUUCUCAAGAAUAUUUCUUACCAAGCAAUUGAUGCUUAUUUCCUUGAUGGAUGACACAUAUGAUGCCCGUGCCACCAUUGAGGAAUGUCGACAACUAAAUGCGACCAUACAAAGAUGGGAUGAGAGGGCCACUUCUCUUCUACCCGACUACCUUAAAAGGUUCUAUACUGAACUAUUGAGGAUAUUUAAAGAUGCUACGAGUGAAGUGGCAAUUUGUGACACUUACCAUGUUGCCUAUGCCCGAAAAGCGUUUCAAGAUCUGUCUGCUUAUUAUCUCCAAGAAGCUGAAUGGUUACACCAGAAUCACAAGCCAAGCUUUAAAGAUCACCUGAGUUUAUCAGCCAUGUCCAUAGGAUCACCAACGAUAUGUGUAGGUUUGAUGGUUGGCAUGGGAGAUCCAGUCACAAGGGAAGCAUUUGAGUGGGCAGCUGGUUACCCAAAAGUCGCCAUAGCGUGCGGGAAGAUAGCACGUCUAAUGGAUGACAUUGCCGCAUUCAAAGGCGGGAAGGCCAAGGGGGAUAUGGCAAGCUCUAUAGAGUGUUACAUGGUUGAGCACAGUGUCACAAGUGAGGUUGCCAUUUCCAAGAUCCUAUCACUGCUAGAAGACGAAUGGAGAACUCUAAAUCAAGCUCACUUCGAACAUCACUCACACCUCCUAGUGGUGCAGCGGAUUAUUAACUUUGCUAAUAGCAUGCUAGUGUUCUAUGCUGGGAAAGAUGCAUAUACCUUCAGCAUAAAUCUUAAGGAGACUGUUGAGAGCCUUUUUGUGAAACCCAUUCCCAUGUAG